CGUAGGGUGCGAGCGUUAAUCGGAAUUACUGGGCGUAAAGCGUGCGCAGGCGGUUCGUUGUGUCCGAUGUGAAAGCCCCGGGCUUAACCUGGGAAUGGCAUUGGAAACUGGCGAGCUUGAGUGCGGCAGAGGGGGUGGAAUUCCGCGUGUAGCAGUGAAAUGCGUAGAGAUGCGGAGGAACACCGAUGGCGAAGGCAGCCCCCUGGGUCGACACUGACGCUCAGGCACGAAAGCGUGGGGAGCAAACAGGAUUAGAUACCCUGGUAGUCCACGCCCUAAACGAUGUCGACUGGGUGUUGGGGAAGCGAUUCCCUAGUACCGUAGCUAACGCGUGAAGUCGACCGCCUGGGGAGUACGGCCGCAAGGUUA
RNAcentral lists this ribosomal RNA (369 nucleotides) under uncultured organism. Its description in RNAcentral is "bacterial SSU rRNA". It matches the Rfam family "Bacterial small subunit ribosomal RNA", at positions 526 to 896 of the family's 1533-position model. The record is from RNAcentral.